GAAAAUGCGUUGAAAAGGGGUAGUAGCUGCAUGGCAGAAUUCAGAGAGCUAUUGGAUGGUGUGAAAUAGUGGAUGGUAAGCAGUGAACUAGCCUUGGAGCAUCUUAAUCGAAGGCAGAAAUGUUGUGUAGGUGAAGACGGAGGCCCUCCGUUACAAGGGAUAGGCAUGUUAGUGCUGAUGAGUGCAUGACGGUUGUCAUGAAGUAGAGUGGUACCGCGUAAGAAAUUUACGUCUCUAUA
RNAcentral lists this non-coding RNA (239 nucleotides) under Clostridium cavendishii. RNAcentral's name for it is "T-box sequence". It matches the Rfam family "T-box leader". From Rfam's summary of the family: Uncharged tRNA acts as the effector for transcription antitermination of genes in the T-box leader family. The record is from RNAcentral. Lineage: Bacteria; Bacillati; Bacillota; Clostridia; Eubacteriales; Clostridiaceae.